GAGGAGAACAGAGAGGAAAUAACCAGAGGCCGACUCCCUGGUGGCAGCCGCACCCCCACUCCGGCACCGGGCUUCUAGCGGCCUGGGGAGAGCUGACCUGGCGGUUCAGGAAGUUUGUGUAGACUUGACACGGGGGGUCAUGGAGGUGCCUGGCAUGCAGUCAAGGGCCCCAUGUCUUCGCAGGGCUAAGCGGGCAGAAGGAAGAGCUCACGUGUGGAAGAGAUGCUGCUGAGAGAGGCCCCCCAUCCCUACCAGAGCAGGUAGGAGACGGGGAGGAUGAAGGGAGGGCGUUUCUGGGCGCCAGGUCGGCACAUCUGAGCAGCUGAAGACAGCGCGGAGGAGGAGGGCAGCGACUGUCUGGAAGUCCAAGGAUCCUGUUUGCUCCUGAGUGCCAGAGGGUGCAUGCCAGGGCCUGGAGCCCUACCCACCAGGAGCAGAGCACAGCCAGAAAGCCCGCAUUAAUAACUCCUUUGAAAUAAAAACAUGCUCUUCAGGGCAA
Molecule: long non-coding RNA, 499 nt
Organism: Mustela lutreola (European mink)
Lineage: Eukaryota; Metazoa; Chordata; Mammalia; Carnivora; Mustelidae
Exons: 2
Source: RefSeq, a predicted model, not a curated record